RNAcentral lists this ribosomal RNA (406 nucleotides) under uncultured bacterium. Its description in RNAcentral is "partial 16S ribosomal RNA". It matches the Rfam family "Bacterial small subunit ribosomal RNA", at positions 30 to 526 of the family's 1533-position model. The record is from RNAcentral.
AUUGAACGCUGGCGGCAGGCCUAACACAUGCAAGUCGAGCGAGUGGCGGACGGGUGAGUAAUGUCUGGGAAACUGCCUGAUGGAGGGGGAUAACUACUGGAAACGGUAGCUAAUACCGCAUACCAUCAGAUGUGCCCAGAUGGGAUUAGCUUGUAGGUGGGGUAAUGGCUCACCUAGGCGACGAUCCCUAGCUGGUCUGAGAGGAUGACCAGCAACACUGGAACAGAGACACGGUCCAGACUCCUACGGGAGGCAGCAGUGGGGAAUAUUGCACAAUGGGCGCAAGCCUGAUGCAGCCAUGCCGCUUGUGUGAAGAAGGCCUUCGGGUUGUAAAGCACUUUCAGCGAGGAGGCGUUACUCGCAGAAGAAGCACCGGCUAACUCCGUGCCAGCCGCCGCGGUAGUUC